GACGAACGCUGGCGGCGUGCUUAACACAUGCAAGUCGAACGGAAAGGCCCUGCUUUUGUUGGGUGCUCGAGUGGCGAACGGGUGAGUAACACGUGAGUAACCUGCCCUUGACUUUGGGAUAACUUCAGGAAACUGGGGCUAAUACCGGAUAGGAGCUCCUGCUGCAUGGUGGGGGUUGGAAAGUUUCGGCGGUUGGGGAUGGACUCGCGGCUUAUCAGCUUGUUGGUGGGGUAGUGGCUUACCAAGGCUUUGACGGGUAGCCGGCCUGAGAGGGUGACCGGCCACCUUGGGACUGAGAUACGGCCCAGACUCCUACGGGAGGCAGCAGUGGGGAAUAUUGCACAAUGGGCGGAAGCCUGAUGCAGCAACGCCGCGUGCGGGAUGACGGCCUUCGGGUUGUAAACCGCUUUCGCCUGUGACGAAGCGUGAGUGACGGUAAUGGGUAAAGAAGCACCGGCUAACUACGUG
Molecule: ribosomal RNA, 468 nt
Filed under: uncultured bacterium
Lineage: Bacteria
Description: partial 16S ribosomal RNA
Rfam family: Bacterial small subunit ribosomal RNA
Source: RNAcentral